GUAGGCGUUGCACAGCGUGAGCACGUCUGCAUGUUACUCCUCUGCGACUGUUAGUGGGUCCGCAUGUGACUGCCUCCGCUGGGUCCCAGCGGGGGGGCUGCGGGUGGCCCCGCCCACCCCAGGCCGGUUCCAGACAAUCAGGUGCUAAUGUGCGGGAACAGGAGAGGGCUGCGCUGACAGAUGGCCGGCUGACCUGGAAAACCUGCCCCCCUUUUCAGGGUUCAGCAGUCGGCAGAUGACAGAUGGUUGAAACACCUCCACCAGCCAGACCCUCUCUGGGGAAUGGACAACCCCCACCCAUCCCCUCACCUUCUCCAGCUACAAAGGUUCCUGAAACACAGACACCACCACAACCAAGAAGCUUCUGGAUGAUCUCACUCUCCAUCUCAACAGUGAACUCCCAAGGGUGCUUCCUGUCGUUUUGGGUGAACCACAAACAUAUUCAAGGGAAAGAGGAAACCUCCGUCAUGUCAGCUCCGUGACAUCGAAGCGACCGCGCCACCGCAGCACACUGCCGGUGACGGACGCCUUUUUGUCUUGUGCAGUCAGGCCGGAGCGCCUGGCCCGCGGACGGCUGUAAUCGCACCGACAGGUGACACAUCUGUGGAAACCAGAAGAUGAUGGGGGGAGACUGCUUAGAUCCUGUGACCUGCACCACACAUGCCGCCUCCAUCUACUGUGAGUCCCGACUGCCCUGCCGGCGACUGAACUCUCGG
Molecule: long non-coding RNA, 716 nt
Organism: Perca flavescens (yellow perch)
Lineage: Eukaryota; Metazoa; Chordata; Actinopteri; Perciformes; Percidae
Exons: 6
Source: RefSeq, a predicted model, not a curated record